This 501-nucleotide ribosomal RNA is filed under the name uncultured bacterium. RNAcentral's name for it is "bacterial SSU rRNA". It matches the Rfam family "Bacterial small subunit ribosomal RNA", at positions 94 to 630 of the family's 1533-position model. The record is from RNAcentral.
AGCGGCAGACGGGAGAGUAACACGUGGGAACGUGCCCUUCAGUUCGGAACAACCCAGGGAAACUUGGGCUAAUACCGGAUACGUCCGUAAGGAGAAAGAUUUAUCGCUGAAGGAUCGGCCCGCGUCUGAUUAGCUAGUUGGUGAGGUAACGGCUCACCAAGGCGACGAUCAGUGGCUGGUCUGAGAGGAUGAUCAGCCUCACUGGGACUGAGACACGGCCCAGACUCCUACGGGAGGCAGCAGUGGGGAAUAUUGGACAAUGGGCGCAAGCCUGAUCCAGCCAUGCCGCGUGGAUGAUGAAGGCCCUAGGGUUGUAAAGUCCCUUCGGCGGGGAAGAUAAUGACGGUACCCGCAGAAGAAGCCCCGGCUAACUUCGUGCCAGCAGCCGCGGUAAUACGAAAGGGGCUAGCGUUGCUCGGAAUCACUGGGCGUAAAGCGCACGUAGGCGGCUUUAUAAGUCAGGGGUGAAAUCCUGGAGCUCAACUCCAGAACUGCCUUUGA